CGGAGAAUUGCAUCAGAAACUGUUGAACUUGAGUGCAGAAGAGGAGAGUGGAACUCCAUGUGUAGCGGUGGAAUGCGUAGAUAUAUGGAAGAACACCAGUGGCGAAGGCGGCUCUCUGGUCUGCAACUGACGCUGAGGCUCGAAAGCAUGGGUAGCGAACAGGAUUAGAUACCCUGGUAGUCCAUGCCGUAAACGAUGAGUGCUAAGUGUUGGGAGGUUUCCGCCUCUCAGUGCUGCAGCUAACGCAUUAAGCACUCCGCCUGGGGAGUACGACCGCAAGGUUGAAACUCAAAGGAAUUGACGGGGGCCCGCACAAGCGGUGGAGCAUGUGGUUUAAUUCGAAGCAACGCGAAGAACCUUACCAGGUCUUGACAUCCAGUGCAAACCUAAGAGAUUAGGAGUUCCCUUCGGGGACGCUGAGACAGGUGGUGCAUGGCUGUCGUCAGCUCGUGUCGUGAGAUGUUGGGUUAAGUCCCGCAACGAGCGCAACCCUUGUCAUUAGUUGCCAUCAUUAAGUUGGGCACUCUAAUGAGACUGCCGGUGACAAACCGGAGGAAGGUGGGGAUGACGUCAAGUCAUCAUGCCCCUUAUGACCUGGGCUACACACGUGCUACAAUGGACGGUACAACGAGAAGCGAACCUGCGAAGGCAAGCGGAUCUCUGAAAGCCGUUCUCAGUUCGGACUGUAGGCUGCAACUCGCCUACACGAAGCUGGAAUCGCUAGUAAUCGCGGAUCAGCACGCCGCGGUGAAUACGUUCCCGGGCCUUGUACACACCGCCCGUCACACCAUGAGAGUCUGUAACACCCAAAGCCGGUGGGAUAACCUUUAUAGGAGUCAGCC
This 842-nucleotide ribosomal RNA is filed under the name Lactobacillus gasseri. Its description in RNAcentral is "bacterial SSU rRNA". It matches the Rfam family "Bacterial small subunit ribosomal RNA", at positions 614 to 1454 of the family's 1533-position model. Lineage: Bacteria; Bacillati; Bacillota; Bacilli; Lactobacillales; Lactobacillaceae. The record is from RNAcentral.